RNAcentral lists this ribosomal RNA (253 nucleotides) under uncultured bacterium. RNAcentral describes it as "partial 16S ribosomal RNA". It matches the Rfam family "Bacterial small subunit ribosomal RNA", at positions 524 to 776 of the family's 1533-position model. The record is from RNAcentral.
UACGAAGGGGGCUAGCGUUGUUCGGAAUUACUGGGCGUAAAGCGCACGUCGGCGGAUUUGUAAGUCAGGGGUGAAAUCCCGGGGCUCAACCUCGGAACUGCCUUUGAUACUGCAAGUCUCGAGUCCGGAAGAGGUGAGUGGAAUUCCUAGUGUAGAGGUGAAAUUCGUAGAUAUUAGGAAGAACACCAGUGGCGAAGGCGGCUCACUGGUCCGGUACUGACGCUGAGGUGCGAAAGCGUGUGGAGCAAACAGG